CACGGGGGGAGCAAGCGUUGUUCGGAAUCACUGGGCGUAAAGGGCGUGUAGGCGGUCAAGUAAGUGGAAUGUGAAAGCCCCCGGCUUACCCGGGGAUCUGCAUCCCAAACUGCUUGGCUUGAGUACGGGAGAGGAUGGAGGAAUUCCUGGUGUAGCGGUGAAAUGCGUAGAUAUCAGGAGGAACACCGAUGGCGAAGGCAGGUCUCUGGGCCGAUACUGACGCUGAGGAGCGAAAGCGUGGGGAGCGAACAGG
RNAcentral lists this ribosomal RNA (253 nucleotides) under uncultured bacterium. Its description in RNAcentral is "partial 16S ribosomal RNA". It matches the Rfam family "Bacterial small subunit ribosomal RNA", at positions 524 to 776 of the family's 1533-position model. The record is from RNAcentral.